UGAAGAGCCUAGGGUUCUGGGGCUGACUGCCUAUGGCCUUAUAAAUCAAAAUGAUAUGUAUUGGAAUUGUGAAGACCAACAAUGGGAAAGGAAAAGACUGAGGUUUGAAGCUUGGGACAGAGAGAGAGAGUAGAAGAACCUGCCCUGCAGCCGAUAGCCUGUCAGCUUGCAUCAGAACCCUGUGUCGGUGUACUCACUUUGCCUUCCAGACGUCCCAGAUUCAAGACCCACUUUUCUUCUGAGG
Non-coding RNA from Myodes glareolus (Bank vole), 244 nucleotides. The record is from RefSeq and is a predicted model, not a curated record. Lineage: Eukaryota; Metazoa; Chordata; Mammalia; Rodentia; Cricetidae.